GGUCAGCAGCCUGCCCUGUGCCCAGAGCAACCACCCCUGCAGGGCCAAAGAGAAGGAGAAGAUGGGGCUCCUCAUCGUCAUCCUCAGCUUCAUCUUCAUGAAGGGCAACGUGGUCAAAGACAGUGCUCUGUGGGAAUUCCUGCGCUGGCUCCGGGUGCACCCAGGGUAGGAUAUGGAGGGGUGGGGGGCACACACAGGGAAUGGGGGGCACGGGGCUUGUCCCCCCCC
This is a long non-coding RNA of Neopelma chrysocephalum (saffron-crested tyrant-manakin), 228 nucleotides long. RefSeq lists it as uncharacterized. The transcript is spliced from 3 exons. The record is from RefSeq and is a predicted model, not a curated record. NCBI's taxonomy places the organism in Eukaryota, Metazoa, Chordata, Aves, Passeriformes, Pipridae.